This 497-nucleotide ribosomal RNA is filed under the name uncultured bacterium. RNAcentral describes it as "partial 16S ribosomal RNA". It matches the Rfam family "Bacterial small subunit ribosomal RNA", at positions 28 to 507 of the family's 1533-position model. The record is from RNAcentral.
GAUGAACGCUGGCGGCGUGCCUAAUACAUGCAAGUCGAGCGAACGGACGAGAAGCUUGCUUCUCUGAUGUUAGCGGCGGACGGGUGAGUAACUCGUGGAUAACCUACCUAUAAGACUGGGAUAACUUCGGGAAACCGGAGCUAAUACCGGAUGAUAUUUUGAACCGCAUGGUUCAAAAGUGAAAGACGGUCUUGCUGUCACUUAUAGAUGUAUCCGCGCUGCAUUAGCUAGUUGGUAAGGUAACGGCUUACCAAGGCAACGAUGCAUAGCCGACCUGAGAGGGUGAUCGGCCACACUGGAACUGAGACACGGUCCAGACUCCUACGGGAGGCAGCAGUAGGGAAUCUUCCGCAAUGGGCGAAAGCCUGACGGAGCAACGCCGCGUGAGUGAUGAAGGUCUUCGGAUCGUAAAACUCUGUUAUUAGGGAAGAACAUAUGUGUAAGUAACUGUGCACAUCUUGACGGUACCUAAUCAGAAAGCCACGGCUAACUACGUG